GAAUGCGAAUAUUGGUUGGUUUUGCAAAAGCUGAUUAGGGUUACGAUUUUGACUCCGUGUUUU
This 63-nucleotide transfer RNA is filed under the name Echinococcus felidis. Its description in RNAcentral is "tRNA-Cys". Lineage: Eukaryota; Metazoa; Platyhelminthes; Cestoda; Cyclophyllidea; Taeniidae. The record is from RNAcentral.